GGCUCUCUGUAACAAACAGGCACAGGGACGUCAGAGCAGACAGACAGUAACGAACCUGCAUGUUGUACACAGUAGAGGCACAUGAGGAAGGUGUGUUUCUGGUGGAGACCAUGCUCACCUGAGCGGCUGGCCUGGCGUGCUCCUACCUCCUCCACACACUCAGACGGGAACCAGCCAGUCCGGCCCUUCACUGUACCCUCCCAGUAUCCCCCCUCACCCACGCUCAGCACUGAUAAGGGGGGAUGGAUCACAUGGCAGAACAAGAAACACACAAACAGAAUCCCAUUGAAUAUGACCUCGUGGCCACAAAGACCCGUCCUGGGACAGCGCUGUACAGGCGCCUUCGCUGGCUGCCGGAGGUUACCGCACUCCCGGUCGACCCCACCCUUUCCAGAGGGGAGACAUACAGACACAGAGACAUACCUGCACAGAGACAACGGUGCUGCCCGCUGCACUGGGCACUGCCAUCCACUCAGGAACCGUCAUGCUGUUAUCGCUGUUGGCACGAAGGAAGGGGUGAGGAUGUGGAAGC
Molecule: long non-coding RNA, 532 nt
Organism: Brienomyrus brachyistius
Lineage: Eukaryota; Metazoa; Chordata; Actinopteri; Osteoglossiformes; Mormyridae
Exons: 3
Source: RefSeq, a predicted model, not a curated record